GCAACCCUACAUAUUCCCGUAUUAUAUCUCUGUUCCACCAUCUCUCUCACACACUCUAAACCUCAUUAUUCGUAAAUCCCACACACUUUGUUUUGAAGUGAAACGAAGAGUAGCUAUCAAAGGAGGAACGUCUCUGCCACCGGAAAAUAAGUCUAAGGAGAUAGUCAUGUUUCCAUUUUCCAAACCUUUUAUCUUCUUUGAUCGAGUUUACCGGGUUUGAUGGUGCGGUGUAUUGGACGUGGUGAUUUGCAUUACUCACUGUGUGGUGACACCGUAAAUUGCUGAGUCAGAUUAUACUUGUCUUGAAACAUCAAGGAGAGAAAUGUGACUCAUACAAUUGUUGACACCGAGUGCUAAUCAGAAUAAAGAACUUGAGCCUCAUAUUGUAGUUUAUUUGGUGGUGAGGCGAGAGAAGUCAAUUUCAAUUUCAUGGGGAAAGCAAUACAAAACUUAGUUGCUGCGGAAAAAUCGUGCUUUUUACCCAUUUCCAGAGGAGCCACCAGAAUUUUGAAUGUAUCCAUACACUCUAAUAGUCUGAUACUGUAUUAACUCGGGAUCUAAGUUUUCUAUUGCAGUAUAAAUGUAAAAUGUCAACAUUUUGUGCAAUCUGUUAAAUGAAUUAGGAAUUGCAUUUUGAUAAUUUGUCUGUCUAUUAUUUUAUAAUGCUUGGUGUCAUUGUAAGGGGUGACCACGGGUCUGAAUCAACCCAUGAACCCAAUCAACCCAAACCAAACUAAUAGCAAGAAAGUGGUUUGGUUUGCUUCUUGGGUUGAUGAAUUUAAAUUCUGAAAUAACUGAUCGAACAUGAUAUACUAUUAUAAAUCUGUUGUUAAUUCCCUUCUCUACUGUCGGAACAUCUGCUGACCACCAACUUAAAGUCGCUAUCCAAUUCCUGCUUUUUUUAACUCAAAGUCCUAAACAAUUAAAAGGGUAAAACCAAAUCUAACCUCUCUCU
This is a non-coding RNA of Vigna umbellata (rice bean), 955 nucleotides long. NCBI's taxonomy places the organism in Eukaryota, Viridiplantae, Streptophyta, Magnoliopsida, Fabales, Fabaceae. The record is from RefSeq and is a predicted model, not a curated record.